RNAcentral lists this ribosomal RNA (297 nucleotides) under uncultured bacterium. RNAcentral's name for it is "partial 16S ribosomal RNA". It matches the Rfam family "Bacterial small subunit ribosomal RNA", at positions 521 to 816 of the family's 1533-position model. The record is from RNAcentral.
UAAUACGGGGGGAGCAAGCGUUGUUCGGAUUUACUGGGCGUAAAGGGCGCGUAGGCGGCCUCCGCAAGUCAGUUGUGAAAUCUCCGAGCUUAACUCGGAAAGGUCAACUGAUACUGCGGGGCUAGAGUGCGGAAGGGGCAACUGGAAUUCUUGGUGUAGCGGUGAAAUGCGUAGAUAUCAAGAGGAACACCUGCGGCGAAGGCGGGUUGCUGGGCCGACACUGACGCUGAGGCGCGAAAGCUAGGGGAGCGAACGGGAUUAGAUACCCCGGUAGUCCUAGCCUUAAACGAUGAAUGC